RNAcentral lists this ribosomal RNA (521 nucleotides) under Debaryomyces hansenii. RNAcentral describes it as "partial large subunit ribosomal RNA". It matches the Rfam family "Eukaryotic large subunit ribosomal RNA", at positions 115 to 651 of the family's 3401-position model. The record is from RNAcentral. Lineage: Eukaryota; Fungi; Ascomycota; Pichiomycetes; Serinales; Debaryomycetaceae.
UUGAAAUCUGGCACCUUCGGUGUCCGAGUUGUAAUUUGAAGAAGGUAACUUUGGAGUUGGCUCUUGUCUAUGUUCCUUGGAACAGGACGUCACAGAGGGUGAGAAUCCCGUGCGAUGAGAUGCCCAAUUCUAUGUAAAGUGCUUUCGAAGAGUCGAGUUGUUUGGGAAUGCAGCUCUAAGUGGGUGGUAAAUUCCAUCUAAAGCUAAAUAUUGGCGAGAGACCGAUAGCGAACAAGUACAGUGAUGGAAAGAUGAAAAGAACUUUGAAAAGAGAGUGAAAAAGUACGUGAAAUUGUUGAAAGGGAAGGGCUUGAGAUCAGACUUGGUAUUUUGCGAUCCUUUCCUUCUUGGUUGGGUUCCUCGCAGCUUACUGGGCCAGCAUCGGUUUGGAUGGUAGGAUAAUGACUAAGGAAUGUGGCUCUACUUCGGUGGAGUGUUAUAGCCUUGGUUGAUACUGCCUGUCUAGACCGAGGACUGCGUCUUUUGACUAGGAUGUUGGCAUAAUGAUCUUAAGCCACCCG